Molecule: small nuclear RNA, 94 nt
Organism: Rhinopithecus bieti (black snub-nosed monkey)
Lineage: Eukaryota; Metazoa; Chordata; Mammalia; Primates; Cercopithecidae
Source: Ensembl
CUGCUCGCUUCAGCAGUACAUAUACUAAAAUUGGAGAUUAGCAUGGUCCCUGUGCAAGGAUGACGUGGAAAUUCAUGUAGUGGCCCAUACUUUU